Brachypodium distachyon (stiff brome) is the source of this 136-nucleotide non-coding RNA. Lineage: Eukaryota; Viridiplantae; Streptophyta; Magnoliopsida; Poales; Poaceae. The record is from Rfam.
AUGCUACUCCCUCUGUCCAACAAAGAAUGUCUCAAGUUUGUCAAAAAUUAGAUGUAUCUAGACAUGACUUAGUGUAUAAAUGCAUUCAAAUUUAGUUAAAGUUGAGACAUCUUUUGUUGAACGGAGGGAGUACUAU